RNAcentral lists this ribosomal RNA (483 nucleotides) under uncultured bacterium. Its description in RNAcentral is "partial 16S ribosomal RNA". It matches the Rfam family "Bacterial small subunit ribosomal RNA", at positions 28 to 507 of the family's 1533-position model. The record is from RNAcentral.
GACGAACGCUGGCGGCGUGCUUAACACAUGCAAGUCGAACGCUGAAGCUCAGCUUUUGUUGGGUGGAUGAGUGGCGAACGGGUGAGUAACACGUGAGUAACCUGCCUCCUUCUUUGGGAUAACGCCCGGAAACGGGUGCUAAUACUGGAUAUUCACUGGUCUUCGCAUGGGGGUUGGUGGAAAGGGUUUUUCUGGUGGGGGAUGGGCUCGCGGCCUAUCAGCUUGUUGGUGGGGUGAUGGCCUACCAAGGCUUUGACGGGUAGCCGGCCGGAGAGGGUGACCGGUCACAUUGGGACUGAGAUACGGCCCAGACCCCUACGGGAGGCAGCAGUGGGGAAUAUUGCACAAUGGGCGCAAGCCUGAUGCAGCGACGCCGCGUGAGGGAUGGAGGCCUUCGGGUUGUGAACCUCUUUCGCUCAUGGUCAAGCCGCAACAAUGGUUGUGGUGAGGGUAGUGGGUAAAGAAGCGCCGGCUAACUACGUG